RNAcentral lists this ribosomal RNA (492 nucleotides) under uncultured bacterium. Its description in RNAcentral is "partial 16S ribosomal RNA". It matches the Rfam family "Bacterial small subunit ribosomal RNA", at positions 29 to 507 of the family's 1533-position model. The record is from RNAcentral.
AGUGAACGCUGGCGGUAGGCCUAACACAUGCAAGUCGAACGGCAGCACAGUAAGAGCUUGCUCUUACGGGUGGCGAGUGGCGGACGGGUGAGGAAUACAUCGGAAUCUACUUUUUCGUGGGGGAUAACGUCGGGAAACUUACGCUAAUACCGCAUACGACCUACGGGUGAAAGCAGGGGAUCUUCGGACCUUGCGCGAUUGAAUGAGCCGAUGUCGGAUUAGCUAGUUGGCGGGGUAAAGGCCCACCAAGGCGACGAUCCGUAGCUGGUCUGAGAGGAUGAUCAGCCACACUGGAACUGAGACACGGUCCAGACUCCUACGGGAGGCAGCAGUGGGGAAUAUUGGACAAUGGGCGCAAGCCUGAUCCAGCCAUACCGCGUGGGUGAAGAAGGCCUUCGGGUUGUAAAGCCCUUUUGUUGGGAAAGAAAAGCAGCAGGUUAAUACCACGCUGUUCUGACGGUACCCGAAGAAUAAGCACCGGCUAACUUCGUG